CAGCCACACUGGAACUGAGACACGGUCCAGACUCCUACGGGAGGCAGCAGUGGGGAAUAUUGCACAAUGGGCGCAAGCCUGAUGCAGCCAUGCCGCGUGUAUGAAGAAGGCCUUCGGGUUGUAAAGUACUUUCAGCGGGGAGGAAGGCGAUAAGGUUAAUAACCUUGUCGAUUGACGUUACCCGCAGAAGAAGCACCGGCUAACUCCGUGCCAGCAGCCGCGGUAAUACGGA
This 232-nucleotide ribosomal RNA is filed under the name Klebsiella quasipneumoniae subsp. similipneumoniae. RNAcentral describes it as "partial 16S ribosomal RNA". It matches the Rfam family "Bacterial small subunit ribosomal RNA", at positions 305 to 529 of the family's 1533-position model. The record is from RNAcentral. Lineage: Bacteria; Pseudomonadati; Pseudomonadota; Gammaproteobacteria; Enterobacterales; Enterobacteriaceae.